CUUUGGGAUAACCCUCGGAAACGGGGGCUAAUACCGGAUAUGACCUCCUGUCGCAUGGUGGGGGGUGGAAAGUUUUUCGGCCUGGGAUGGGCUCGCGGCCUAUCAGCUUGUUGGUGGGGUGAUGGCCUACCAAGGCGACGACGGGUAGCCGGCCUGAGAGGGCGACCGGCCACACUGGGGCUGAGACACGGCCCAGACUCCUACGGGAGGCAGCAGUGGGGAAUAUUGCACAAUGGGCGGAAGCCUGAUGCAGCGACGCCGCGUGAGGGAUGACGGCCUUCGGGUUGUAAACCUCUUUCAGUAGGGACGAAGCGGAAGUGACGGUACCUACAGAAGAAGCGCCGGCCAACUACGUGCCAGCAGCCGCGGUAAGACGUAGGGCGCGAGCGUUGUCCGGAUUUAUUGGGCGUAAAGAGCUCGUAGGCGGCUUGUCGCGUCGAUUGUGAAAACCCGGGGCUCAACUUCGGGCUUGCGGUCGAUACGGGCGGGCUAGAGUUCGGUAGGGGAGACUGGAAUUCCUGGUGUAGCGGUGAAAUGCGCAGAUAUCAGGAGGAACACCGGUGGCGAAGGCGGGUCUCUGGGCCGAUACUGACGCUGAGGAGCGAAAGCGUGGGGAGCGAACAGGAUUAGAUACCCUGGUAGUCCACGCUGUAAACGUUGGGCGC
RNAcentral lists this ribosomal RNA (665 nucleotides) under uncultured Micromonosporaceae bacterium. RNAcentral's name for it is "bacterial SSU rRNA". It matches the Rfam family "Bacterial small subunit ribosomal RNA", at positions 136 to 816 of the family's 1533-position model. The record is from RNAcentral. Lineage: Bacteria; Bacillati; Actinomycetota; Actinomycetes; Micromonosporales; Micromonosporaceae.